CUGUAACUAGCCUGGGGAGAGACAUGUUGUCUGUAACCUGUAACUAGCCUAGGGAGAGACAUGUUGUCUGUAAACUGUAACUAGCCUGGGGAGAGACAUGUUGUCUGUAACCUGUAUCUAGCCUAGGGAGAGACAUGUUGUCUGUAACCUGUAACUAGCCUGGGGAGAGACAUGUUGUCUGUAACCUGUAACUAGCCUGGGGAGAGACAUGUUGUCUGUAACCUGUAACUAGCCUAGGGAGAGACAUGUUGUCUGUAACCUGUAUCUAGCCUAGGGAGAGACAUGUUGUCUGUAACCUGUAACUAGCCUGGGGAGGGACAUGUUGUCUGUAACCUGUAACUAGCCUAGGGAGAGACAUGUUGUCUGUAACCUGUAACUAGCCUAGGGAGAGACAUGUUGUCUGUAACCUGUAACUAGCCUAGGGAGAGACAUGUUGUCUGUAACCUGUAACUAGCCUAGGGAGAGACAUGUUGUCUGUAACCUGUAACUAGCCUGGGGAGAGACAUGUUGUCUGUAACCUGUAACUAGCCUAGGGAGAGACAUGUUGUCUGUAACCUGUAACUAGCCUGGGGAGAGACAUGUUGUCUGUAACCUGUAACUAGCCUGGGGAGAGACAUGUUGUCUGUAACCUGUAACUAGCCUGGGGAGAGACAUGUUGUCUGUAACCUGUAACUAGCCUAGGGAGAGACCUGGCUGGCUUGCUUUAUUUAAAUGAAUGUAAUACACAUUGUUAUAUCCUUCUGGUUAAAUCCCAAAUGGCACCCUAUUCCCUACAUAGUGCACUACUUUUGACCAGGUCCCAUAGUGCUCUGUUCAAAAGUAGUGCACUUUAUAGGGAAUAGGGUGCCAUUUGGGCCAAAUAUAGGAUAAUUUGACUGUAGCCUUCUGCGUUGAGCAGAGACAACUUUUUCCUUGUUGGCACUUUAUCUGUUGGUUAGUAGGUGUUAUUAUAUUAUUGAACCUCUGGAGCCAUACGCUAUUGGGUUAGUCAGGCUGAUCAGCAAGUCUCAAUAAGGUGUUGGGAUCAACAAGUCUCAAUAAGGUGUUGGGAUCAACAAGUCUCAAUAAGGUGUUGGGUUAGUCAGACUGAUCAGCAAGUCUCAAUAAGGUGUUGGGUUAGUCAGGCUGAUCAACAAGUCUCAAUAAGGUGUUGGGUUAGUCAGACUGAUCAGAAAGUCUCAAUAAGGUGUUGGGAUCAACAAGUCUCAAUAAGGUGUUGGGUUAGUCAGGCUGAUCAACAAGUCUCAAUAAGGUGUUGGGUUAGUCAGGCUGAUCAGCAAGUCUCAAUAAGGUGUUGGGUUAGUCAGACUGAUCAGCAAGUCUCAAUAAGGUGUUGGGUUAGUCAGGCUGAUCAACAAGUCUCAAUAAGGUGUUGGGUUAGUCAGGCUGAUCAGAAAGUCUCAAGCCUCAAACACCUUAGUAAUAUAUUCUGUCCAUGGACUCAUGUUACUCAUUUUCACUGGGGGGUGCGUCCCAAAUGUCAACUCAUUCUACAUUUGACCAGGGCCCAUAUGGGGGAAUAGGAAGUCAUUAAUGACCAGGGCCCAUAUGGGGGAAUAGGAAGUCAUUAAUGACCAGGGCCCAUAUGGGGGAAUAGGAAGUCAUUAAUGACCAGGGCCCAUAUGGGGGAAUAGUGUGUUCUCAGAAGGUGAAGCCAGUAGUGGCCUACUGGGCCGAGGCUUUGAUGUUGCUUUCCUGUGGCGUUACUUCUUUAUUUUAUCCUUGGUGGGGUUUAUUUUAUGUAAAUCAAGGAGACGUGCUUUUGAUUUGUCUGUUGAGUGUAAGGGGUUGUCCCAAAUGUCACCCUAUUCCCUAUGUAGUGCAUUACUAUGGGCCCUAUUCCCUAUGUAGUGCGCUACUAUGGGCCCUAUUCCCUAUGUAGUGCGCUACUAUGGGCCCUAUUCCCUAUGUAGUGCGCUACUAUGGGCCCUAUUCCCUAUGUAGUGCGCUACUAUGGGCCCUAUUCCCAAUGUAGUGCGCUACUAUGGGCCCUAUUCCCUAUGUAGUGCGCUACUAUGGGCCCUAUUCCCUAUGUAGUGCGCCACUAUGGGCCCUAUUCCCUAUGUAGUGCGCCACUAUGGGCCCUAUUCCCUAUGUAGUGCGCUACUGUGGGCCCUAUUCCCUAUGUAGUGCUCUACUAUGGGCCCUAUUCCCUAUGUAGUGCUCUACUAUGGGCCCUAUUCCCUAUGUAGUGCUCUACUAUGGGCCCUAUUCCCUAUGUAGUGCACUAUAAAUGGAAUAAGGUGCCAUUAGGGAGACAAGCCAUCUCAGAACAUACGCUGUUAAACCAUUGAGUACAUAACUGUGCUGUUACAUAUUUAUAUAAUUUGUAAGUAUGCAUAUUGUAAUUAUUUUAUAUUUGUAUACAUGCACUAGUUUAUAAGUGUGCAUUAUUUUUUCGGGACAUGAAUCAAACUGACGUGUAAAAAAGUUGAAAAAAAUAAAGUACUUUUUUUGUUAACCUGUCUCUGUCUGUUUGUCUGGUCUGUUUGUCUGGUCUGUUUGUCUGGUCUGUUUGUCUGGUCUGUUUGUCUGGUCUGUUUGUCUGGUUUGGUCUGUCUGGUCUGUCUGUCUGGUCUGGUCUGUUUGUCUGGUUUGGUCUGUUUGUCUGGUUUGGUCUGUCUGGUCUGUCUGUCUGGUCUGUCUGUGUCUGGUUUGGUCUGUUUGUCUGGUCUGUCUGUCGAUCUUUGGCCAGGAUUCAAUCCAAGGCACGUUACAGGUCGACACUCUAAACAGCCGACAACGCUCCUCUAAAGGCAAUGUCCCCAGCGUUCACGGAGAUCACAUUCAUG
Molecule: long non-coding RNA, 2792 nt
Filed under: Salmo salar (Atlantic salmon)
Lineage: Eukaryota; Metazoa; Chordata; Actinopteri; Salmoniformes; Salmonidae
Description: lncRNA (ENSSSAG00000102842.1, ENSSSAG00000111594.1)
Source: RNAcentral